This 76-nucleotide transfer RNA is filed under the name Clostridia bacterium. RNAcentral describes it as "tRNA-Pro". It matches the Rfam family "tRNA". From Rfam's summary of the family: Transfer RNA (tRNA) molecules are approximately 80 nucleotides in length. Their secondary structure includes four short double-helical elements and three loops (D, anti-codon, and T loops). The record is from RNAcentral. Lineage: Bacteria; Bacillati; Bacillota; Clostridia.
CGAGGCGUAGCGCAGUUGGUAGCGCGCAUGGUUCGGGACCAUGAGGUCGCGUGUUCGAAUCACGUCGCCUCGACCA